CCAUAUUCCAAUCCGUGCACUGGAGCAUCGAGCAGCCCAAUACAUAAGGAGGCCUUAGUCACCCGCCAUCAUACCACCCCCUCCAAUGACAGAAACAAGCAGUGGGGACGGCUCAGGACUAACCCCAGACACGGGGCUGGAUGAGGGGGAUUUUCUUCAAGAGCAGAAAGAGGACCUCAUGCUCCAGAAGGCUUGGGAGCAAGCUGGGGAAGCCACGGGGCCUGACCCCACAGAUGAGGUGCCGAGCAGAGGGCCCCGCUUCAUGCCUUGAGAAGCCUUGCUAAUUGAGCCCCGAAUCGGAAUUGGGACCCUGGAGUGCCGACCAGAAAGGAGAAGGCGCUGAGCAGGUUGGUGAGGAGCUUACGUCGCAACAACGGGAGAAGAUACAACGGCUGAUGCAGCGAUUUACCCAGGUUUUGUCGAUACACCCAGGGCGGACGACCCUCCUGAGUCAUCACAUCGAGAUGGAGCCUGGGAUACCACAGGGCUGAUUAUUCAAAGAGCGAAACCACAAGAAAAAGGAAUUCAGUCUCCCAGACCGUUCCGUUUAGGUCAGUAGAAGAAGAAACACACAGAAUCAAUGUGGGUGGGAAGUGGAUUUCCCUAACAAAAUGAAUGAGAAACUCUUGAUUGAAUUAUACAGCUCAGUAGAUGUGAGGUUAUUUGGCGCUUAUGGGGAGGGAGAAGUAUUGGAUUUGUUCACUGUUGCUUUGUAUCUGUGCAUGUUUCUUGGUGAGCAUUCUCUCCACAGUGAUUGCUUUCUCUGUGAAUGAGCAAUGUACUUCUAAAUAGCUGAGCAACAGUACUUUAUCAGCCAUAGGCUGAUACUGGAGAGUCUAUAUGGAGAAAAUAUGAUGCCAUAAAAUGUAAACUCUCAUCUUAAACAAUGAUGGAGCGAUUUGUAUUCAACUGGACAUAAAAUGAAAAUGCUAUAGAAGUUCUCUAACUGCUCUAAAAAUUAACUGAAUAAGGAUUAAGAAUGAAUAAAAUCUUGGAGCAAAGAGUUUGGAAAAGACCAGCACCAAAUGCUAAUCUAAAAUCUGCUGGAGUUGGAUAUAAAAUAACUGAAAAACGGAUACACUCAGAAAUAAUAAAAGACGAGUAUAGGACUGAAUUCUGGGACUGGUCUCAGUAUAGCUGACAAUGUUGGUUUGGACUCAUGUAAACUAUGGAUUCAAAGGCUUCUCAUUUUGUUUCUAUGUGCCUUAUAUCCAGUGGACCAUGGUGAAAACAAGAAAUAGACAAUUUACCCUUUUAUAAGAGAAGGCUAUUAAUGCAGCCUGAUGCAAAUAGUGGGGGAGGGGGGGUUCAAAAUGCUGCAGGGAUAUUGUCCUCCUUUUCUUUCAGAUUCUGACUUAAUGACUACAUAGCACCAUCUAGAGCCGUAAGAGGCAUUAACAGUACCUUUGCCAGAUCUGUCAUUCAGCUUCAAACAUCAUUUUUUCCACAUAUCCAUGGGACAGUUCUGUUAGAAAGCACCGAAUAUCUACAAUCCCUAGGUGAAAGGUAUGUUAGAAAGAUAAUAGAUACAAAACUCCCACACAUACCCAGGUUUUAGUCAUGAUGUGUGUGCAUUUCCUUUAGCUUCUUUCUCGUGUUAGUUUAACAUUUAAUGGAGAGUCUCAGCUGUUCAGAAACUUUUAAUACUACAGCAAGUAACUCUAAUCCCUAGAGCGGGGUAGGAACCCUUUUUGGGUCGGGGGCUGCUGACCCAGAAAAAUCAGUCGGGGGCCGACAUAAGUGAGAAGCAAAAAUAUUUUUAACCCCCCCCCCAUUGAUGUGGCCCCCAGCUGAGGAGAAAGACCCUCCCCACAUCCCUCUCACAUACCAGACCUUAGGAGGGCCCAGCCUAGUAGAUUUUGUGUGUUCCAGUCCUGUGGUGGGGUAGCGGGGGGCACCAGCAUGGACUCCCUGAGCCUUGGGGGUUGGAUCCAGACAACCCGGGGGCACCCCUGGACCUUAGAGCCCCCACCCCUGCUCUAGACCUUAGUGUGUCAUGUGCCACUGAUCUAUCAGGCACUCCAGUUCCUCCACUGACUACGAUUGGUUGCUUCCCAUGCUGUGUCUUCUGAGGUGAUGCCAGUGCUUUUUAUAUUUUCUGUCCCUAUCUUCUGUAUUCCUUGCUUCCCCCUCCCCCCAGGUGUACAUGUACCAACCAUCUGGCCUUCAUCUGGUAUUUUUAACAUGUCUUGCUCUGUCAGCUCCCUUCAUCUUGCAUUUGUUGUUGUUCUUGGAUUUUGUUUGUUUUUGUGUCGCCACGAAAUGUGUAGUAGUCUCCUCAGCCAUCAGUAAUGGGCAGUCUCCAAUUUGGUAUUGCUGACCAAGUCACUGCUCUCUACAGUAGCUUGGUAAGUAUAAUUGCCUGGAAUCAGUUGACCUUCAUCUUCACCUGCUUGGAUCUUAUGUGCGCUGCUUUUCCAGAUCUCAUAUGAAUAGCUAUGUCAUGGCCACCCUCAAAUGGCAUCUCACUCAAAUGGCAAACUGCUGUGUGCUUGAUUUCUUUUACAUAGCUCUGCAUCUGUUAUCCAGCUCUUUGCCUUCAUAAUCUUAGGGGGGGUUAUCUCUAUUUGCUUUCUCUUCUACCGAUGAGGAAUGGGCAAUCAUUCCAUUCCAUAUCAUACUUACAAAAACAACGCCAUUGUCAAAGACAGGGUCGUGGAACUGGGGGUCUCCACUAAACCAUUUCACCCUGUUCAUGAAGACUUUUGUCGCCCAUUUCAUCACCCAGCUAUUGCUUGUGCAAAGAAGAUGGGUGAUAAUACACACCCUUGAAAAAGUCCAGACACAGUAUCAAACCAUCCACUCAGGCCUGCCUUCUGUCUUACUGCACAUGUACUUCCAUCAUAUAAAGUCCUCAUUAUGCUGAUCCGUUUGUCUGGUAUUCCAUAGCUCCUAGCAAUGACUCACAGUGUCUUUGCGAACACUCUAGAAUGCUUUCUGGACUAAAAUGGAUUUUUGCCAAGUAGUAUCUUUUUCAAAGAUUUGGUGACAGUGAAUAUUAGUCUGCAAUAUAAUCUGUCUGUUCCUCUUGAAUUGAUGCAUAUGCCGCCUUUAUCAUUCAGCAAGACGUUAACCAGGAUUGAGAGUAGCUCAGUGUUUCUCCAGUUCAUGCACUGUGUAAGAUCAGCCAUUUUUUGCAAUGCCACAAUGAUACUAUUUUCCCAGGCUCAUGGUAUUUGUUAUUUCACCCACAUUUCAUUACAUUUUUGUUAGCUCCUUCGUCAGAAUUUUGUC
Pelodiscus sinensis (Chinese soft-shelled turtle) is the source of this 3234-nucleotide non-coding RNA. The record is from RefSeq and is a predicted model, not a curated record. NCBI's taxonomy places the organism in Eukaryota, Metazoa, Chordata, Testudines, Trionychidae.